Molecule: ribosomal RNA, 635 nt
Filed under: uncultured archaeon
Lineage: Archaea
Description: bacterial SSU rRNA
Rfam family: Archaeal small subunit ribosomal RNA
Source: RNAcentral
AGGUUGACCCUGCCGGACCUGACUGCUAUCUGAUUGGUACUAAGCCAUGCGAGUCGUUGUACAAUACAAGGCGGACUGCUCAGUAACACGUAGUUAACUUAACCUAUGGAUGGGGAUAACCUCGGGAAACUGAGAAUAAUACCCAAUGGACCACAGUGCCUGGAAUGGCCUGUGGUUGAAAUGAUUUAUCGCCGUAGGAUAGGACUGCGGCCUAUCAGCUUGUUGGUGAGGUAAUGGCCCACCAAGGCUAUAACAGGUACGGGCUCUGAGAGGAGGGGCCCGGAGAUGGGUACUGAGACACGGACCCAGGCCCUAUGGGGCGCAGCAGGCGAGAAACCUUUGCAAUGUGCGAAAGCACGACAAGGUUAAUCCGAGUGUCUCCUGCUAAAGGAGUCUUUUGUCAGUUGUAGAAUCACUGGUGAAUAAGGGGUGGGCAAGUUCUGGUGUCAGCCGCCGCGGUAAAACCAGCACCUCGAGUGGUCAGGAGGUUUAUUGGGCCUAAAGCAUCCGUAGCCGGUUGCAUAAGUUUUCGGUUAAAUCUAUGCGCUUAACGUAUAGGCCGCCGAAAAUACUGUGCAGCUAGGGAGUGGGAGAGGUACCCGGUACUCGAUAGGAAGGGGUCAAUCUUUGAUCUU